Long non-coding RNA from Solanum stenotomum, 150 nucleotides. RefSeq lists it as uncharacterized. The transcript is spliced from 3 exons. NCBI's taxonomy places the organism in Eukaryota, Viridiplantae, Streptophyta, Magnoliopsida, Solanales, Solanaceae. The record is from RefSeq and is a predicted model, not a curated record.
CAAGUCAUGGUGAUUUGUUCAACGUGUUAGGUCCCGAAAUUCUAGUAGAAUGGAAAUUGUCUGAUGAAUGUAACGAAUGUCAUGAUGGUGGAGGUCAAUGCCAGACUGAUAAAACCAACAAAUUUUCUUGUCACAAAGAUGCAAAAACAC